This 547-nucleotide ribosomal RNA is filed under the name Fusarium oxysporum. RNAcentral describes it as "eukaryotic LSU rRNA". The stretch from base 191 to 344 matches the Rfam family "5.8S ribosomal RNA". Lineage: Eukaryota; Fungi; Ascomycota; Sordariomycetes; Hypocreales; Nectriaceae. The record is from RNAcentral.
UGUAACAAGGUCUCCGUUGGUGAACCAGCGGAGGGAUCAUUACCGAGUUUACAACUCCCAAACCCCUGUGAACAUACCACUUGUUGCCUCGGCGGAUCAGCCCGCUCCCGGUAAAACGGGACGGCCCGCCAGAGGACCCCUAAACUCUGUUUCUAUAUGUAACUUCUGAGUAAAACCAUAAAUAAAUCAAAACUUUCAACAACGGAUCUCUUGGUUCUGGCAUCGAUGAAGAACGCAGCAAAAUGCGAUAAGUAAUGUGAAUUGCAGAAUUCAGUGAAUCAUCGAAUCUUUGAACGCACAUUGCGCCCGCCAGUAUUCUGGCGGGCAUGCCUGUUCGAGCGUCAUUUCAACCCUCAAGCACAGCUUGGUGUUGGGACUCGCGUUAAUUCGCGUUCCUCAAAUUGAUUGGCGGUCACGUCGAGCUUCCAUAGCGUAGUAGUAAAACCCUCGUUACUGGUAAUCGUCGCGGCCACGCCGUUAAACCCCAACUUCUGAAUGUUGACCUCGGAUCAGGUAGGAAUACCCGCUGAACUUAAGCAUAUCAAAA